Long non-coding RNA from Micropterus salmoides (largemouth bass), 1575 nucleotides. RefSeq lists it as uncharacterized. The transcript is spliced from 3 exons. The record is from RefSeq and is a predicted model, not a curated record. Lineage: Eukaryota; Metazoa; Chordata; Actinopteri; Centrarchiformes; Centrarchidae.
CAUCAGUGGUCCACCAGUUGUCUGUAACAGCUGUCAAAACUUCACCCUGUUCAGCUGGUUGCAUCGCUGGAAUAGUAAUUGCAUGUUUGGUCAUCUGUGGAGCAGGUUUUGGUGGAGGAUACUACAUAUAUAAAAAAAGAACUUGAGUCUCGGUUUCUUGAGGGGAAAGUCCUGAGUUUACAUCCAUCAUCCAUUCACCACCACCACCCUCCUUAGUCAGACUUUGUCGUUCCUUAUACUAUGUCACCUGACUUCUUCUACCACCAUGGGUUGUGGCCUUACAAAAAUCAUAAAUUUGGGUCGUAGUGAGCUAUACUUAUACAGCUGUUUUUGGAUGAGGACGACUGGAUCUAAAAAUCACUGGAUCAAUCAUCAAUCACAAAUAAAUACUAUAAAGAAUCACAAUCACAUGUAUUGAGUUAUGAAAUGUACUGUAACAAAGCUACUUUUUUGCCUACAACAAGAAGAACAUAUGUAUGAGAACUUCAGAGGUAUAUGAGAACAUAUAAACUCAACUGUCUUUUAAAGUAAGUUUUCAACUCAUUUGUCUGAUUUAGUGAAAAGGCCUAAAUGUAAUUUGAAGGGAGAAGCACCAGAGGUUUUGUUUCUGUGGAAAUCAUUUUAACUCUGUUUGGAUCAAAACAGCAACUCUCUAAUUUAAUCAGUUGUUUAUAUUUUUCCUGCAGAUGAUGAAAAUAAAAAUGUGUAAAGUUUUCACCUGCGCCAAGAAGAGACGACACACCAAUGUUGUCGGGGGGUGUUUAGAAAUUAUACUAUUCUGACUAUUUUUCUUCUAUGUUUGGAUUAAAUUUUCUUUUAGAUAAGUAAUUUACAAUGCAGUAAGUCAUAUCAUUAACAGAAUUACCAGUGGAUCUGAAAGCAAUAUAAAUGUGCUUAAAGCUGCAUUAAGUAACUUUUUGGACACUUGUAGGCAGAAGAGCACCAUAACAUAAUGAGACAUAGCAGCCCUGAUAUAUUAUCACCUAAUUGUUUUUUGUUUUUUUUUAUAACUAAUGUGUUGCCAUUUAUACAUCCAGUACAUAUCAACAGCAGCAUUUCUGCAGCAUUUCUGGCCACUUGUUAAAUAAAAUAUUCACUCCCAUUUUAGAAGGUAGCAUAUGCAUUAGAUUUCAAAUCAGAGCUUUUUUGCUAAAAAUGUCUGCCAGUGUUUAUGAGAGUGAAAUGUCUUCAAACCCAAAACAAAGUGUAAAUACAGUAAAAUAUUCCAGUAAACUGUAGUACUGGGUAAUGAUUCAAUAUAUAAUGAGUUGAAAAUAGCUUUUAUUACACCUUUUCUGGUGUGUUUGCUCUGUGUAUAUAUAAUGUUUGCUUUUAUUUUCCUGUUCUUUAUUUUGUCCAAUCUCAGCUUUGUAAAUCAAUGGAUUAAUAUUGGGUUAGGAUGAGAAAUUAUUCUAAUUAACAAGAUACAUCAAUAUUUUGAAAACUGCAACAUAAAAUGUUAAUGCUUUCUCUGUCAUUUGUUUUGACAGCAACUGAAUAUGUAACAGUCUUAUAAAUAUAAUGGUCAAAAUCUGGUAAGCAUAGUAUUUUAAUAAAUCUGUAUAUAUCCUCUUA